This 56-nucleotide ribosomal RNA is filed under the name Chaenotheca brachypoda. RNAcentral describes it as "partial 28S ribosomal RNA". Lineage: Eukaryota; Fungi; Ascomycota; Coniocybomycetes; Coniocybales; Coniocybaceae. The record is from RNAcentral.
UGACCUCGGAUCAGGUGGGGAUCCCGUUAACUUAAGCAUAUCAAUAAGCGGAGGAA